CAGCAGCCGCGGUAAUACGUAGGUGGCAAGCGUUGUCCGGAAUUAUUGGGCGUAAAGGGCUCGCAGGCGGUUUCUCAAGUCUGAUGUGAAAGCCCCCGGCUCAACCGGGGAGGGUCAUUGGAAACUGGGAAACUUGAGUGCAGAAGAGGAGAGUGGAAUUCCACGUGUAGCGGUGAAAUGCGUAGAGAUGUGGAGGAACACCAGUGGCGAAGGCGACUCUCUGGUCUGUAACUGACGCUGAGGAGCGAAAGCGUGGGGAGCGAACAGGAUUAGAUACCCCAGUAGUCCCUGUCUCUUAUAC
This 301-nucleotide ribosomal RNA is filed under the name uncultured bacterium. Its description in RNAcentral is "partial 16S ribosomal RNA". It matches the Rfam family "Bacterial small subunit ribosomal RNA", at positions 509 to 807 of the family's 1533-position model. The record is from RNAcentral.